GACGAACGCUGGCGGCGUGCCUAAUACAUGCAAGUCGAACGCUGAAGGAGGAGCUUGCUUCUCUGGAUGAGUUGCGAACGGGUGAGUAACGCGUAGGUAACCUGCCUGGUAGCGGGGGAUAACUAUUGGAAACGAUAGCUAAUACCGCAUAAUAGUAGAUGUUGCAUGACAUUUGCUUAAAAGGUGCAAUUGCAUUACUACCAGAUGGACCUGCGUUGUAUUAGCUAGUUGGUGAGGUAACGGCUCACCAAGGCGACGAUACAUAGCCGACCUGAGAGGGUGGUCGGCCACCCUGGGACUGAGACACGGCCCAGACUCCUACGGGGGGCAGCAGUAGGGAAUCUUCGGCAAUGGACGGAAGUCUGACCGGGCAACGCCGCGUGAGUGAAGAAGGUUUUCGGAUCGUAAAGCUCUGUUGUAAGAGAAGAACGAGUGUGAGAGUGGAAAGUUCACACUGUGACGGUAUCUUACCAGAAAGGGACGGCUAACUACGUG
This 495-nucleotide ribosomal RNA is filed under the name uncultured bacterium. RNAcentral's name for it is "partial 16S ribosomal RNA". It matches the Rfam family "Bacterial small subunit ribosomal RNA", at positions 28 to 507 of the family's 1533-position model. The record is from RNAcentral.